Molecule: long non-coding RNA, 796 nt
Organism: Mytilus trossulus (common blue mussel)
Lineage: Eukaryota; Metazoa; Mollusca; Bivalvia; Mytilida; Mytilidae
Exons: 3
Source: RefSeq, a predicted model, not a curated record
GCCAUAACACAGCCAGACUGGUUGAGGAGAGUAAACUGGUUGCUACAUCAAGCAGAGAAUGGUAUAUUCAAAGGACAAGAGAUAGAGCUUUCCAGAACCAUUAUGAAGAUUAUGGAGAGUGACCUUUAGUGUUCCAUCAUGUCGAGGACGCCAUGCUUUCUGGAGAGGGGAAGACAGUUCUAAUGACAUGGAAGUCAUUUUUUUAACAGAGGGGAGGAUGUAGCAGAGUGAUUUUUCAUGCUUCAUAAAUUAUGUAAUUUGCACUUUUGAAAUCAUUGAUUUAUAUUAAAAAUCUAUUUAUCAAAUUCUUAUUGAGUCUUUAGUUUAAUUAUUUCACUCUUGCAAAGUAUUUUUACUAAAGGAUAUUUAUCUUUUAUGACUUGAUUUGGUAUAUAAUUUACGUAUUGAGUAAUGUUACUCAUACAUAUUCAUGGGGGUUGAAAUUGAACUCUUGUUUUGAUUGGUUCUUAGUUAUUGGCGGUUAAAUUGAGUUUUCCUUUGUGUACCUUGGGUAGAAUUCACCUGGACACUGGUCAGUGAAAGACGUCCAUUAUUUACUCAGACUUUUAUAGCAGAAACCCAUAUUUACAGAUUGUGUAUUUAUUAUAUUCAGCUUGACAGUUUUCUAGACAUGACUAGACUCUGAUGUAGACUACUUCUUUGUACUUUGUGCCAAGUUCCUUAUUUACUAGAGAACUCACUCCACAAGUGAGUUUUUAUUCUCUGGUAAUAAAACCAUCCGAACCUUAGAAAGUCUUUCGUUUAUUUCAUUAUACCGGAAGAGACCCCUUUCACA